GGGAGGACGCUCCCUUGUAGGGAGAUUCCAGCGCCUGUAAGCAGAAAUUCAGGAGACUGAUGUGGUAAGAAUUUUGCUAUACUUGUCAGAGGUCCCAGAAUCUCUCUGCUGCAAGGAGCCCUGGAGCGAGCAGGUUGCAGCCAGUGAAACUGGUCCCUUCAUGGUCACCAAAUGUAGGGGUGGAAAAUUUUUCCUUGCACCCACUAGGUUCUUUGGUUUGUCUAGACAGAUUAACAGGAGAAAAACAAAUUUAACUUUGCACCGACGGAGCUCCAUGAAAAUGUGAGACCCCCAAAGCAAGUCAGGCUGUUACCCUGCAUAUGCCAUCCUUAGCUAAGGAACCGGGUAGGGACCUGGGGCUAGAAAUGGGAGGAGGUUGAUUCACAGAUCAGGAGAGCAGAUCUCUUAGAUGUUUGCCCUGCUCGUAAGGUCUGUAUGUUUGGAUUCUUCUCGGUGUCCUUUUGUCUUGGAGGUAAGAAUGCUCCUUUCCUUUAGGUCUGGGGAAGGCAUCUGUGACCUACUUCAGGGGAGAGAGACGGGGAAGGUCAGAGUGCACGUCCUGCUUCUGCCAUUUUCUCAGACUCCUUCUGCUUAAAGUAUUCAGUAUGCCAAGGUGCCAUAUUUUGGGGCAACCUCUUGAACCCCAUCACCAGUCACAUAUUUUUACAUCUGUCCCGAAUCUCUUGGCAUACCCUAUAUCAUAUCUCACUUUGGAUAUGUGUACUUGUUCUUUCCAGUUUUUAUUUGGCAGAGAUUUGUCUGUUAGUUUCAAAUACAAAUAUGAUUUUAUAUUGUUCACAUGGAUGUAUAAUUGGAGAUGGUGGGAAAACGUCUCCAGGUUGUUUCUGUUGUCUCUGGAAAUGGAGAAGGAUGAGAACCCACUCUGGGUUAGGUCUGGGGUUCGGGGCACAGAAGUGAUCUGACCACAGUGGUUUUGUUACCUAUUGUAUGGAGCCACUAAGCCAUUGAGCAGGGAUGGGUAAAGGAUUCCACAAAAUAGGAUUCCACAAAAUCAGAUUGAGCUGCUACAGAGGGACUUCUGUCCCGAAGACACUUGUCUGUCACUGGUAAAAAUGACUAUGCUUGUUUCUGAUUCUACAUUUUGGUUGCUGCUGAAGAUUGUCCUUUUUAGAGGAUACUCCAGAUGUUUUGGAGAGCAUCAAGGAGAGGACGUUUCUGUCGUUUCCAUGAAUUGUGCCAGCUUCCCUAUCUUCUAUUUAUUCUUUCCCAUUAUAAAAAUAUUUGUCCCAAGUAAAAAAAUUUGAAUGCAGUGGAUGCACAGAUACAGUUCACCUAGAGCAGUGGGUCUCAGAAGGCUGGUCCGUGGACCUGCGGCAUCAGCCCCAUCUGGGAAUUGGUUAGAAAUGCAAGUUCUCUGCCCCACCAAUUACUGAGUCAGAAACUCUGGGCAGAGGGCCCAACAGUCUCUGUGUCCAGCCCUCCAGGUGACUUUGAUGCCACUAAAUGUCUAGAGACCCUGGCCUACUAUCUCCAUAACUCAUUAGAAUGAACUCUAUAGUAGUUGACUUUCACAUUUAAACACAAGCAGUUGGCUUAUACCUUUUAUAAAGUUUUUUGGGGCACCUGCGUGGCUCAGUCGGUUAAGCUUCUGACUUGGGCUCAGGUCAUGACCUCACGGUUUAUGAGUUCAAGCCCCGCAUCAGGCUUGGUGCUGACAGCUCAGAGCCUGGAGCCUGCUUCGGAUUCUGUGUCUCCCUUUCUCUCUGCCCCUUUCCCACUCGUGCUCUGUCUCUGUCUCUCAAAAAAAAAAAAAAAUGUUAAAAAAGUUUUUCAUGUAGUAACCAAAAAAUACCUUUGGAGUUUGAAAGGAUUCCUCUAAAGAUCUACCCAUCCUCUGCCCCAAUAAUUAUUAUUAAGUAGGUUAAUACCCUAAGUAAAAUUCAGGAAAGUAUCGGAUUUGACUUAAAAAUGCUAGGAAAUUAGGCUACUGUCUAAAUAUUUACAACACAGAGCUUUUAGCCGGGAGGGUCUUUUUUUUUUUUUUUUUUCAGUCUUCCAAGAAAAAAAAUUGGAAAUCAUCCAAAGAAUAGUAUAUUAUGAUACAGGCUUGAUAUUUUAUCAUUUUUAUGUACUGUUUCUGUAAAAGGUAUGUUUCAUCCACAUAUCGCGGAGUGAUAGCACGUGCAGGUGGUGUGGAGCCAUUGCUUGGAACCGUGAUACCCCCCCCACCCAAUUUAGUUGUGUGUUGGUCCCUGCAGGAGGCACAGUGGUCUUGGUGCUGCCCGGACUCAUUUCAGGCCACCAGGUUGUCCUGUCAGCCUCCCACCUUGAGCCCAUGGAGUUCAAACAGGUUAAUAACUCACGAAGCCUCUGGCCACAGGCGGAGCUUCUCACUUAUCCAUUAAUCCUUAAGCCUCUCGGUUCGAAUCGUUCUUUAAGCAAUAAAAAGGCCAGGAAGACGAAAGCAAAAAUACUGUCAGGGUUUUCUUAAUAGUUGGAGCUAAUUUUCUUGAAAUGUCACUGUCCAACGGAAGAGGUUCCAAAUUCCUACCGCUAAUCUGAUUUUCCUAUAAUUUCACCACAAAGCACACAGGAUUUAGGAUGACCUCUUCCUGCUCCAAUUGAAAGCAAGUAAAAAUAGAACUGUGGUACUUAAGGACUGGAGGUGAGCUCCUUAUGGAUGCCAUCCAAGCCUGGCCUCCUCCCCCGCGCUAACUGAUGGGGGAGGGUCCCAGGCCUGGAGGGGUGAGCGGGGAGGCCCAGAGUCUCCCAGCCACACAGAGGCCUUUGGAGCUGCCUCACCCCUCCCACAGAGACAGCCAACAGCUGAGCAUUUCUGUCUCACUGUUUCAGCAAACCUCACGCACAUGGAGUUUCUAAGCUGUCCAUUUUGCUAAUACUCUAGAUAGUGGUCAUUUCCUUCAGGGCAGUUGAUAGAAGUUUUAAAAUGUUCCAGAAGUUUAGAUACUAGAAUAGUGUUUGUUUCCUGUGACAUGGGUUAAGGAAACAGCUGUUCAGGAGCUGCCCUGAAUGACUGGACAUUGUGAGAUCUCGCUAGGAGUGGCCAUGAGUUCUUCGUUGUCCGAAAGAGUUCUUUUACUCUGUUUGCCGAACCUGCCAACUACUGUGUUCUAGUCAAACUUGGAAACAACCCAACUGUCCUCCCAGGAGUGAACGGUUUCACUGUGGUAUGUCCACACCACGAAAUUCUACUCAGCAAUAAAAAGGAACAGAUUACCCAUACAUGCACCAGCGUGGAUGAACCUCCAGAAAACUAUGCUGAGUGAAAAAAGCCAAUCUCAGAGGGAUGUGUACUGCACGAUCCCAUUCUGAAACCUUUGUUCGAGAACAGAAUUCAUAGGUUUGGAGAUCACUGGUUGGGGAGGCAGGGAGGAGGGUGUGGUUAUACAAGGAUAACCUGAGGGGGCCUUGCAGGGUCGGUACAGCUGAGGAUCUUGUGGUGUGUUACACAAGACUGUACACGGAUAAGGCUGCAUAGAGCUCCCCAUACACACACGCUCACACACUCGAGUGAGUGACUAAUGAAAUCUGAAUAAAGCUCUGGGGGUUGUACCAAUGUCAUUUACUUGGUUUUGAUGUUACACUGUUAACUGUUUAAGGUAUUAGCCUUGGGGGAGCCAUGGCACAGGUGCACGGGCUGCUGCCCUGUGCCCUGUACCUUUCUCAACACUGUCCUGUGAACCUAUGAUUAUUGCAAUUUUUAAAAAAAGUUUUAUUUAUUUAAGUAAUCUCUACACCUAAUGUGGGGCUUGAACUCACGACCCUGAGAUCAAGAGUCCCAUGCUCUUCUGACUGAGCCAGCCGGGCAUCCCUAUGGCUAUUUCAAAGUAAAAAGUUCAACAACAACUAUUUUAGUGGUUC
Long non-coding RNA from Felis catus (domestic cat), 3843 nucleotides. RefSeq lists it as uncharacterized. The transcript has 2 exons. Lineage: Eukaryota; Metazoa; Chordata; Mammalia; Carnivora; Felidae. The record is from RefSeq and is a predicted model, not a curated record.